GAAGCGUCUCCGUGUGGUCGGCG
This 23-nucleotide microRNA is filed under the name Spodoptera frugiperda (fall armyworm). RNAcentral describes it as "sfr-miR-10475-5p". Lineage: Eukaryota; Metazoa; Arthropoda; Insecta; Lepidoptera; Noctuidae. The record is from miRBase by way of RNAcentral.